Molecule: long non-coding RNA, 855 nt
Filed under: Mus musculus (house mouse)
Lineage: Eukaryota; Metazoa; Chordata; Mammalia; Rodentia; Muridae
Description: RIKEN cDNA 2610035D17 gene
Source: RNAcentral
AUCCAUUAGUGGCUCAUGUGUUCUUAAGACAAACUCAGCAGGCUGUACCUGUCCAGAGACACAAUUCAAGACCUCUGUGGACACUUGGAACUGUGAACAAUACUGAACGCUACUGGUCCAAUAUUCUUCCUGGACACACGUACUUCCGAUAAAGCAUGCUGUCUGGAUGCCAGAGAUGAACAUUAGUUUGACAUCAGAACAGUUACAGUAGCGCCGUGGGAUAGCAGAAGUUAUGUGGAUGCCAUCUCUCUCCGAAGGUGAAACCAGAGCUUCUGCCUGCAUGGAACAAGAGCAAGAGAAAGAGUUCACUGAAGGACAGCCUUGCAGAACAUGGGGAGAAUCAUCAGGCAGGUGACUCCAGGCCUGUGCACACAGGAGGCCGAGGAGACUGACCUGCUUAUCCAUGCUACUUAUCAGGAACUGUGGAACCAUGGAGAACAUGACCCUGGCCCUCCCUUCAGGAUCUGCCUGAGAUCUGGCUGCCUCUUGAGACACUAGAGCCCUGGAUUCAAUUGCGGAACAUUAUGUUGGAGAAUAUAAACACUUCUAGACUGUGCCGGCAUUUGGGAAGGAAUAGUCUGUUUUGACUUGAAUGAACAAAGACAUACGUCUCUGGGCCUGGGGAAGGCUUACCAGCUCAGCUCAUCUACUGUCUGGUGGCAAACAUGUCCUGGGUACUGCCACUACCCAGGACACUCUUCCUCACUCUGUCCCUGUCCAGUUACCGCACCCUUCCCUGUCUGACCCCGCCUCCUGUGCCCACUCGCCUCUGGACCCAGAGAUUCUUCUUGUUUGCUCUAUCAUCCUUGAGCCGGAUACAGGGUGAAUAGUUAACCACACUUGGGUUGAAUGGGA